Molecule: long non-coding RNA, 1013 nt
Organism: Culex pipiens pallens (northern house mosquito)
Lineage: Eukaryota; Metazoa; Arthropoda; Insecta; Diptera; Culicidae
Exons: 2
Source: RefSeq, a predicted model, not a curated record
UGGUCCCCUUGGAACGAGCUGUCAAGUAGGAGCUUUUCUGUCAAGAAGGACCGCGAGGUUAAUUUUUCAAAAUUGAUUUAAAAAUCCAUUUUAAACUCUUUGUGGUCGUACGAAGGGUCAUUGUACUCAGAAAAAUAAGCUUUAUCGCUGUGAACAAUAAUAUCAGCAAUCUAAGCUUCAUUUUAGGACCCAAUUGCUAGUGAAAUUUAGAAUAAGAUUAUUUUAUUUUGUUUCAUAGAUUUGUCGGCAAAAUUGUCAUAAAUGUUCCCCCAAGGAACCUUUCAUGAGAUCACCGACCACUCCAGGUUGUGGUCACCACUGUCGAAAUGGCCAUCUUUCAUGAGAACCGCCGCAUCAUAGCGACUUCCACCGGUCCGCUUCGCUCGAAUUUCCUCCUUCUGGUUACUGGUCCUCUUCUUCUAUUGGCUGCUGCUGCUGCUGCUCCGCGCCGUCCCGAUGUACCCGGUUCGAGUGCUCGUUACAAAGUGACUUGCUUUUGCGAAAUUUUCUGCUUAAAUAGCGGCAGAGCCGGAGAACGGCGAAAAAAGGCUUCGAAUGCAUACGCUCGCUCUGAUUGGUCAUCUGCCCGAUUUGAACUGAAAAAUGACUCACUUUGAUUGCAUGUUUUAAGCACUUUAACUAUGUUUAGUCAAAGUUAUUAUGUAAUAAAACGAUAGCUUAAGUCUUCCUCUUUCUACUGGUGAUUGAAUCUUCUUGAUUAAUUGAUUGGGGGAAAAGAUAUAAGCGUUUGAAAUAUGUACGUGGUGAUUAUUGCAUUCGAUCGUAAUAUUUCGAUCGUAAUUUCUCGACUCACGAUCGAGAUUUCUCGAUCGUAAUAUUACGAUCGUAAUUUGUCGAUGGUAAGUCGUAAUUUGUCGAUAGUAGAUUGAGAUCAUUCGAUCGUAAUUUCUCGAUCUACCAUCGACAAAUUACGACCGACGAUCGAGAAAAUCUCGAUAUGGGUUCGAAGCUCGUUUUCGAAACUUUUUUUUUUAAUUCAUGAUUUUCAGAAA